This is a non-coding RNA of Pelobates cultripes (western spadefoot toad), 344 nucleotides long. NCBI's taxonomy places the organism in Eukaryota, Metazoa, Chordata, Amphibia, Anura, Pelobatidae. The record is from the annotation of a GenBank genome assembly.
CCAAUGGUGCUUGCUGGUAACAAUAUCGCCUUAUCAGCUCAUCUCUCCUAGUAUUUCUAACCCGACAGGUUUACCUCAAAACCCGUCCCUGCAGACAAACUUUAAAGGGACAUCAUAACUACUACUGCUGCAUUCAAGUAGUUUGUUACACUGGAACCAUAUGUGCAUCAAGUCAGCUGGAAAUGUUACAGUGAAAAAGAUCACUCCCUCGUAUUUUAUGAUGAAGUAAGCAUUGCAAUCGGGAAGUGCAGGAUUUGCCAUUGUCAACAAGAGGGUUGCCGAUGCGACAUUGGCUUUAAAUUGUAGUUUAGAAAUUAACGUUAGCUGGUACUCAAGGGCAAAAG